Molecule: ribosomal RNA, 465 nt
Filed under: Vreelandella stevensii
Lineage: Bacteria; Pseudomonadati; Pseudomonadota; Gammaproteobacteria; Oceanospirillales; Halomonadaceae
Description: partial 16S ribosomal RNA
Rfam family: Bacterial small subunit ribosomal RNA
Source: RNAcentral
CCUACGGGGGGCUGCAGUGGGGAAUAUUGGACAAUGGGGGGAACCCUGAUCCAGCCAUGCCGCGUGUGUGAAGAAGGCCCUCGGGUUGUAAAGCACUUUCAGUGAGGAAGAACGCCUGGUGGUUAAUACCCAUCAGGAAAGACAUCACUCACAGAAGAAGCACCGGCUAACUCCGUGCCAGCAGCCGCGGUAAUACGGAGGGUGCGAGCGUUAAUCGGAAUUACUGGGCGUAAAGCGCGCGUAGGUGGCUUGAUAAGCCGGUUGUGAAAGCCCCGGGCUCAACCUGGGAACGGCAUCCGGAACUGUUAAGCUAGAGUGCAGGAGAGGAAGGUAGAAUUCCCGGUGUAGCGGUGAAAUGCGUAGAGAUCGGGAGGAAUACCAGUGGCGAAGGCGGCCUACUGGACUGACACUGACGCUGAGGUGCGAAAGCGUGGGUAGCAAACAGGAUUAGAUACCCUAGUAGUC